GAGAUUGCUGAUUGAUAAACAAUGAAAGAGGGUCCGUCUAGAUGUAGAUCCUGGCUCAGGAUCCAUUCAGAGGGGGGGCAGGCCUAAUACAUGCAAGUCGAGGGGCAGCAUGGGUAGCAAUACCUGAUGGCGACCGGCAAACGGGUGCGGAACACGUACGCAACCUUCCUUCGAGCGGGGAAUAGCCCAGAGAAAUUUGGAUUAAUACCCCAUAAGAAUGUGGACUGGCAUCAGUCAGCAUUUAAAGAUUUAUCACUUGAAGAUGGGCGUGCGUCUGAUUAGAUAGUUGGUGAGGUAACGGCUCACCAAGUCAACGAUCAGUAACUGGCGUGAGAGCGCGAUCAGUCACACGGGCACUGAGACACGGGCCCGACUCCUACGGGAGGCAGCAGUAAGGAAUAUUGGUCAAUGGACGGAAGUCUGAACCAGCCAUGCCGCGUGGAGGAUGAAGGCCCUCUGGGUUGUAAACUUCUUUUAUUUGGGACGAAACACUCUUUUUCUAAAGAGCUUGACGGUACCAGAUGAAUAAGCACCGGCUAACUCCGUGCCAGCAGCCGCGGUAAUACGA
Molecule: ribosomal RNA, 568 nt
Filed under: uncultured soil bacterium
Lineage: Bacteria
Description: bacterial SSU rRNA
Rfam family: Bacterial small subunit ribosomal RNA
Source: RNAcentral